AACGAACGCUGGCGGCAUGCCUAACACAUGCAAGUCGAACGAGACCUUCGGGUCUAGUGGCGCACGGGUGCGUAACGCGUGGGAACCUGCCCUUAGGUUCGGAAUAACUCCCCGAAAGGGGUGCUAAUACCGGAUAAUGUCUUCGGACCAAAGAUUUAUCGCCUUUGGAUGGGCCCGCGUUGGAUUAGCUAGUUGGUAGGGUAAAAGCCUACCAAGGCGACGAUCCAUAGCUGGUCUGAGAGGAUGAUCAGCCACACUGGGACUGAGACACGGCCCAGACUCCUACGGGAGGCAGCAGGGGGGAAGAUGGGACAAUGGGCGAAAGCCGGAUCCAGCAAUGCCGCGUGAGUGAUGAAGGCGUUAGGGUUGUAAAGCUCUUUUACCCGGGAUGAUAAUGACAGUACCGGGAGAAUAAGCUCGGGCUAACUCCGU
This 432-nucleotide ribosomal RNA is filed under the name uncultured bacterium. RNAcentral's name for it is "partial 16S ribosomal RNA". It matches the Rfam family "Bacterial small subunit ribosomal RNA", at positions 29 to 506 of the family's 1533-position model. The record is from RNAcentral.